Molecule: ribosomal RNA, 253 nt
Filed under: uncultured bacterium
Lineage: Bacteria
Description: partial 16S ribosomal RNA
Rfam family: Bacterial small subunit ribosomal RNA
Source: RNAcentral
UACGUAGGCAGCGAGCGUUGUUCGGAGUUACUGGGCGUAAAGGGUGUGUAGGCGGUUCUUUAAGUUUGGUGUGAAAUCUCCCGGCUCAACCGGGAGGGUGCGCCGAAUACUGAGGGACUAGAGUAUGGGAUGGGAAAGUGGAAUUCCUGGUGUAGCGGUGAAAUGCGUAGAUAUCAGGAGGAACACCUGUGGUGUAGACGGCUUUCUGGACCAUAACUGACGCUGAGACACGAAAGCGUGGGGAGCAAACAGG